GCUGGGUGCGGUAGUGUGCACCUGUAGUCCCAGCUACCUGGGGAGCUGAGGCAGGAGGAUAGCUUGAACCCAGGAGGUUGAGGCUGUGGUGAGCUGAGAUCACACCACUGCACUUCAGCCUGGGUGAGAAAGUGAGACCCUGUCUCAA
Non-coding RNA from Pan troglodytes (chimpanzee), 148 nucleotides. It matches the Rfam family "Metazoan signal recognition particle RNA". From Rfam's summary of the family: The signal recognition particle (SRP) is a universally conserved ribonucleoprotein. It is involved in the co-translational targeting of proteins to membranes. NCBI's taxonomy places the organism in Eukaryota, Metazoa, Chordata, Mammalia, Primates, Hominidae. The record is from Rfam.